Molecule: transfer RNA, 69 nt
Filed under: Anolis brevirostris
Lineage: Eukaryota; Metazoa; Chordata; Lepidosauria; Squamata; Anolidae
Description: tRNA-Trp
Rfam family: tRNA
About the family: Transfer RNA (tRNA) molecules are approximately 80 nucleotides in length. Their secondary structure includes four short double-helical elements and three loops (D, anti-codon, and T loops). Further hydrogen bonds mediate the characteristic L-shaped molecular structure. tRNAs have two regions of fundamental functional importance: the anti-codon, which is responsible for specific mRNA codon recognition, and the 3' end, to which the tRNAs corresponding amino acid is attached (by aminoacyl-tRNA synthetases). tRNAs cope with the degeneracy of the genetic code in two manners: having more than one tRNA (with a specific anti-codon) for a particular amino acid; and 'wobble' base-pairing, i.e. permitting non-standard base-pairing at the 3rd anti-codon position.
Source: RNAcentral
UAAAAACUUAGGAUAAUAAAACCGAGAGCCUUCAAAGCUUUAAAAAAGGGUGUAAACCCCUUAGUUUUU